UCCCGCAACGAGCGCAACCCUUAUCCUUGUUUGCCAGCGAGUCAUGUCGGGAACUCCAGGGAGACUGCCGGUGNUAAACCGGAGGAAGUGGGGACGACGUCAAGUCAUCAUGGCCCUUACGAGUAGGGCUACACACGUGCUACAAUGGCGCAUACAGAGGGCGGCCAACUUGCGAAAGUGAGCGAAUCCCAAAAAGUGCGUCGUAGUCCGGAUUGGAGUCUGCAACUCGACUCCAUGAAGUCCGGAAUCGCUACGUAAUCGUAGAUCAGAAUGCCUACGGUGAAUACGUUCCCGGGCCUU
RNAcentral lists this ribosomal RNA (300 nucleotides) under uncultured bacterium. RNAcentral's name for it is "bacterial SSU rRNA". It matches the Rfam family "Bacterial small subunit ribosomal RNA", at positions 1085 to 1382 of the family's 1533-position model. The record is from RNAcentral.